GAUGAAGAACGUAGCGAAAUGCGAUAACUAAUGUGAAUUGCAGAAUUCCGUGAAUCAUCGAGUCUUUGAACGCACAUUGCGCCCCCUGGUAUUCCGGGGGGCAUGCCUGUCCGAGCGUCAUUGCUGCCCAUCAAGCACGGCUUGUGUGUUGGGUCCUCGUCCCCCCCGGGGGACCUGCCCGAAAGGCAGCGGCGGCACCGCGUCCGGUCCUCGAGCGUAUGGGGCUUUGUCACCCGCUCUGCAGGCCCGGCCGGCGCUGGCCGACGCGAAAGCAACCAUUUUUUCUCCAGGUUGACCUCGGAUCAGGUAGGGAUACCCGCUGAACUUAAGCAUAUCAAUAAGCGGAGGA
Molecule: unclassified non-coding RNA, 349 nt
Filed under: soil metagenome
Description: partial contains 5.8S ribosomal RNA, internal transcribed spacer 2, and large subunit ribosomal RNA
Rfam family: 5.8S ribosomal RNA (bases 1-120)
Source: RNAcentral